Molecule: ribosomal RNA, 503 nt
Filed under: uncultured bacterium
Lineage: Bacteria
Description: partial 16S ribosomal RNA
Rfam family: Bacterial small subunit ribosomal RNA
Source: RNAcentral
AUUGAACGCUGGCGGCAGGCUUAACACAUGCAAGUCGAGCGGGGUGAUGGUGCUUGCACUAUCACUUAGCGGCGGACGGGUGAGUAAUGCUUAGGAAUCUGCCUAUUAGUGGGGGACAACAUCUCGAAAGGGAUGCUAAUACCGCAUACGUCCUACGGGAGAAAGCAGGGGAUCACUUGUGACCUUGCGCUAAUAGAUGAGACUAAGUCGGAUUUGCUAGUUGGUGGGGUAAAGGCCUACCAAGGCGACGAUCUGUAGCGCGUCUGAGAGGAUGAUCCGCCACACUGGGACUAAGAGCCGACCCAGCCUCCUACGGGAGGCAGCAGUGGGGAAUUUUGGACAAUGGGGGGAAUCCUGAUCCAGCCAUGCCGCGUGUGUGAAGAAGGCCUUAUGGUUGUAAAGCACUUUAAGCGAGGAGGAGGCUCUUUUGGUUAAUACCCAAGAUGAGUGGACGUUACUCGCAGAAUAAGCACCGGCUAACUCUGUGCCAGCCGCCGCCGUAA